CUGAUACAUGGCAUCAUCCUAUCUCUGGUUUCCCCUUUGUCCUCCAUCCAGGUGCCUCUUCUGCUUCAUUCUCUCCCAUAUCACUUGUGCAUGCGUGUAAUGUUUCAAUACCAAUUGAAGAACUCUGUAGGUACCUGCCUAAUAAGAUUUCUAAACCCAUAGUUAGUGUGAACAUGAAAUUGUCAAAAACAAGUCUCCACCCAUAAUUGUUCUUUUGUAUUCCUGUUGCUUGAGCUACAUUAAGUAGAAUGUGCAUGUUGUAGUCCUAUGAUGAUGUUAACUUGGUACUACAUAAUGACUUGCUCCUCACACUUGGUAAACUACAUAAUAAUGUACUGGUAAAUUAGCAAGAAACAAGAAUGCAGCAGAAUCUGUCUAGCUUAUUAAAGAUGAUAUUGAAUAGUAAAAAUAGCUCCUUUUUUGGUGCUUGGUAAGCACAGUGACCAAAAAACUGUAUGGCUGUUCAUUCAUUAGUCUUACCUACUAAUGUCAAACUCAUGGUACCUACAGUUAAAUAAAAUCCAAUGCUCUCACUCUUUACACUAUGGUUUCUCCUUCUUCCUAACUAUGUAGACUCUUGAAAAUGCCACAAACUUGGCAGAACUUCCUGGGGUUUUUAAUUUCAUGUUUAAUUGGCUGUCAUCAAUAACCUGAUGUUGAAAACAUUUGUAGUUUUCAGUAUGAAACUAUGGGGUUGAAGACUCCCUUUUACACUAGUAUAUCUUGCAUUUUUGGCUGUAUUUUAGAUUCUUAUAUAUAUACAGUUUCACCUUAGAACUUUUUCAUCAACUAAUCAGGGUUGUCCAACACUUAUCUAUAAAAGUCACUUUGGCAUUUGUUUUCAACUAAGGAAACAAAUAUAGCUCAUUGGAGACUGGAUUUUUUUCCCUUUUUUUCAUCAUUUAGCUCAAAAGCAAAAGGUUUCCUCUCAGAGUCUUGUAAAAUCAUAUUAGAACUAGCAGGACAUAGGAAAACAUUAAGAAAUCUUUGUCUAGAUUAAAGAAAGGAGGCAGGUUAUAAAGCCAUAUAGCCAGUACAGUUCAUCCUGCAGAUGGCCUCAUACCAGUAGCUGUUAGAGUCCCCACCUCCACUUCUUACAGGGAACUGCAGAUUUUAAAGGCUCUCUCAAAAAAGGUGACAGCGCCAAGACCCGGAAAAGGAGAAGACCUCCUUGGAGAACCAUAAUGUACUCUUCACUGCCACUACCACCACCAAAUGGAUUUUUAGAGCUUGAAACAGUCUUUGUAAGUUAAUCAAAGCAUCCCUGUGACAUACCUGCCUUCUCCCUGUGCCCAAGUUUGAUGAACAGUGGCUGAGAGGUAGAAUAGGCUGCAUUGUGGAAGGACUGCAGGACAGAUGGGCAGCCAGGGUAGAGGCUCCUUCCCCCACAUGAGAUGGUGUACAUCUCUAGGCAAUCAAAGUUGGACUUUGGACUCUGAAACAGCUAUAAUACAAGAAAGUUAAAACCCCAGUGGAGGUAAAGAACCCUUUGACUAAUUAUUCUCUUGUACCCAAGAAAGGUACUGCUGUAUGUACACUUACUGCAAGAAGGAUCUUGUUUACUAUCUUCUUCUGGACUGGAUAGUUAACUAUAUUUUAUGAUAGUUUUGAAAGACAUCUGUAAUGUAAAGACUGUCCAUAUUAAUAACUAAAUAAAUUGUAUAUCAAACCAUAAUGGCGGCAUCAUUUGGUUUGUUUGUGUAAUUUACUUCUAUUUCCAUCUCCUAGAACAGUGCUUUACUCAAUUGUUGGUGCUCAAUAAAUAUUUGUUGAAUGAAUUCUGAUUUCCAUGAAACAUCCAUACUGCCCAAAAAAAUUCUACAUAGAUUGCUAGAGAAACUGAGAUUUAGAUCAUUGUCUGACUUCAGAGAUUUUUUUUUUUGAAGGCAGGAUCCUUCCCCAUUAUACAGAAAACCUCAGAACAGAGGCAUCCACAAGUAAUAGAUUUGAGAGAUGCCAUUCUCUGUCAACUGCCAGCAAUCAGUUUGCUGAUAUGCUAGAAACUCCUCUCCAGCAAAACAACAUGCAGUUCAAAUCAGCAGCUGUUCUACAAGAGACCAGAAGCCUGUGCCCUUAUAGUGACGAAUGCAUCACACGUGAUGUGCUGCUAUGCCAUAACAGUGGGUAGGAGCCCACAGACAGUACUACCCUUACCUCUAUCUUAAUGGAGGCCACCUCUAGCUUGCUACCCACUAUGAGUGCAUUCUAAGGGAGAGAAUGGGAGGUGCAGCACCACAAAGCUUGAAUUAUCACCUUGUGCCAGGACUAGAGCACAGAUGAAGAGCAAAACCAGAAAUGAGAGUUCCGGAAGAAGAUGGAGACUAAGGUGGCCAGGUCUACAGAAGCAGGCCGUGAAUAUAGGUCCCUACUAGUACUUCCUUUUCCUCUCUCUUCAUAUGUCAAGUGGGAAGAACAUCUCUUGCUUUCCUGCUGCUUGGUGUCAUAUUUGUCCAGUAAGAAGUGUAGAGUCUCCCACUUUCCAAGGCAACCAGAGGAUCCGAGUGAUGCAUGAGCAGCACUGUUCACACAGCGAUUUCCCUGGUUUCUCUCGUCUGCAGCCUCAUCGAUGCAGCUUUCAAGGAAUCAGAAUGGCUUAAGACCCCUCGUCAGUUUCUCAGUGUGGCCUCUCGGCACCUGCUGGAUCCACUGGUAUCUUUGUCACCUCCUGGACACUCAGUGCUCCUGCCAAGCCCUCCCUCGUCUCUUAA
Long non-coding RNA from Myotis davidii, 2708 nucleotides. RefSeq lists it as uncharacterized. The record is from RefSeq and is a predicted model, not a curated record. The transcript has 4 exons. Lineage: Eukaryota; Metazoa; Chordata; Mammalia; Chiroptera; Vespertilionidae.